AGUCGAGCGAACAGAUAAGGAGCUUGCUCCUUUGACGUUAGCGGCGGACGGGUGAGUAACACGUGGAUAACCUACCUAUAAGACUGGGAUAACUUCGGGAAACCGGAGCUAAUACCGGAUAACAUAUUGAACCGCAUGGUUCAAUAGUGAAAGGCGGCUUUGCUGUCACUUAUAGAUGGAUCCGCGCCGUAUUAGCUAGUUGGUAAGGUAACGGCUUACCAAGGCAACGAUACGUAGCCGACCUGAGAGGGUGAUCGGCCACACUGGAACUGAGACACGGUCCAGACUCCUACGGGAGGCAGCAGUAGGGAAUCUUCCGCAAUGGGCGAAAGCCUGACGGAGCAACGCCGCGUGAGUGAUGAAGGUCUUCGGAUCGUAAAACUCUGUUAUCAGGGAAGAACAAAUGUGUAAGUAACUGUGCACAUCUUGACGGUACCUGAUCAGAAAGCCACGGCUAACUACGUGCCAGCAGCCGCGGUAAUACGUAGGUGGCAAGCGUUAUCCGGAAUUAUUGGGCGUAAAGCGCGCGUAGGCGGUUUUUUAAGUCUGAUGUGAAAGCCCACGGCUCAACCGUGGAGGGUCAUUGGAAACUGGAAAACUUGAGUGCAGAAGAGGAAAGUGGAAUUCCAUGUGUAGCGGUGAAAUGCGCAGAGAUAUGGAGGAACACCAGUGGCGAAGGCGACUUUCUGGUCUGUAACUGACGCUGAUGUGCGAAAGCGUGGGGAUCAAACAGGAUUAGAUACCCUGGUAGUCCACGCCGUAAACGAUGAGUGCU
This 775-nucleotide ribosomal RNA is filed under the name uncultured bacterium. RNAcentral's name for it is "bacterial SSU rRNA". It matches the Rfam family "Bacterial small subunit ribosomal RNA", at positions 60 to 817 of the family's 1533-position model. The record is from RNAcentral.